RNAcentral lists this ribosomal RNA (774 nucleotides) under uncultured Neocallimastigales. Its description in RNAcentral is "partial large subunit ribosomal RNA". It matches the Rfam family "Eukaryotic large subunit ribosomal RNA", at positions 24 to 639 of the family's 3401-position model. The record is from RNAcentral. Lineage: Eukaryota; Fungi; Neocallimastigomycota; Neocallimastigomycetes; Neocallimastigales.
UAUGUGAUCGUCUCUCGCAUAUCAAUAAGCGGAGGAAAAGAAACUAACAAGGAUUCCCCUAGUAACGGCGAGUGAAGCGGGAAGAGCUCAAAUUUGAAAUCUUAAAGGGUUUCCCUUUACGAAUUGUAGUUUAAAGAAGUGUUUUCUGUUGAGGUUUUGGUAAAAGUUCUUUGGAAUAGGACAUCAUAGAGGGUGAGAAUCCCGUAUUUGACCUUUACUUUCAACUUUGUGAUACACUUUCAAAGAGUCGGAUUGUUUGGGAAUGCAGUCCAAAAUGGGUGGUAAAUUUCAUCUAAAGCUAAAUAUUGGCGAGAGACCGAUAGCGAACAAGUACCGUGAGGGAAAGAUGAAAAGAACUUUGAAAAGAGAGUUAAACAGUACGUGAAAUUGUCAAAAGGGAAGCGUUUGACACCAGUGUUGUUUUUCUGAAAAUCAAUUAAAGAACUGUUUAUGCUAAGCUGUUUAGACUUUAUCAGCUAACUGUUUAGUUUUGAGCUUUUCUUUAAUGCACUUUUCAGUUAACAAGUCAACAUCAAUUUCUUUUGCUGUAAAAAAGCUUGAGGAAGAUGGCUUGAGAUUCGUCUUAAGUGUUUAUAGCCUCUUGCCUACGCAGUCGGAGAGAUUGAGGUCUGCAGCGUAGAUCCUUCGGGGCUAAAUGCAUUUGUGCUAAGUUAUAGCAUUUUAUAGACAACUUGUUGACUAUGAUUUGUCCUGUAGCUUACUCGCUUAUGUUAUUUUACCUACGCUUAGGAUGUUGACGCGCGUGUGUGCGUG